AAUGGACUGUGGUCUGUUACAAUAGGAGCCAGGGGUUAGCUGAAGGGAAUGGACUGUGGUCUGUUACAAUAGGAGCCAGGGGUUAGCUGAAGGGAAUGGACUGUGGUCUGUUAAAAUAGGAGCCAGGGGUUAGCUGAAGGGAAUGGACUGUGGUCUGUUACAAUAGGAGCCAGGGGUUAGCUGAAGGGAAUGGACUGUGGUCUGUUACAAUAGGAGCCAGGGGUUAGCUGAAGGGAAUGGACUGUGGUCUGUUACAAUAGGAGCCAGGGGUUAGCUGAAGGGAAUGGACUGUGGUCUGUUAUGAUAGGAGCCAGGGGUUAGCUGAAGGGAAUGGACUGUGGUCUGUUACAAUAGGAGCCAGGGGUUAGCUGAAGGGAAUGGACUGUGGUCUGUUAUGAUAGGAGCCAGGGGUUAGCUGAAGGGAAUGGACUGUGGUCUGUUAUGAUAGGAGCCAGGGGUUAGCUGAAGGGAAUGGACUGUGGUCUGUUAUGAUAGGAGCCAGGGGUUAGCUGAAGGGAAUGGACUGUGGUCUGUUAUGAUAGGAGCCAGGGGUUAGCUGAAGGGAAUGGACUGUGGUCUGUUAUGAUAGGAGCCAGGGGUUAGCUGAAGGGAAUGGACUGUGGUCUGUUAUGAUAGGAGCCAGGGGUUAGCUGAAGGGAAUGGACUGUGGUCUGUUACAAUAGGAGCCAGGGGUUAGCUGAAGGGAAUGGACUGUGGUCUGUUAUGAUAGGAGCCAGGGGUUAGCUGAAGGGAAUGGACUGUGGUCUGUUACAAUAGGAGCCAGGGAUUAGUGGAAGGGAAUGGACUGUGGUCUGUUACAAUAGGAGCCAGGGAUUAGUGGAAGGGAAUGGACUGUGGUCUGUUACAAUAGGAGCCAGGGGUUAGCUGAAGGGAAUGGACUGUGGUCUGUUACAAUAGGAGCCAGGGAUUAGUGGAAGGGAAUGGACUGUGGUCUGUUACAAUAGGAGCCAGGGAUUAGUGGAAGGGAAUGGACUGUGGUCUGUUAUGAUAGGAGCCAGGGGUCAGUGGCCUCGAAAAAUGGCUCAAAAAGACUAACCAGCCACAGUAGUGUUGUCCAGACCAAGACCACACUUAAACAAUCAGGCAUUUGUGUUUCCUGCCACCCUUCACUGCUCCCUGCCUCCCUGGCAUACCCUGUGUUUCCUUCACUGCUCCGUCCCUCACCUCUCCCUCCAUGCUGCCAGGCUUAAAUAAAAGUGUUUCAAGUCUAGAGUCUAAGGUUCUUCAUCCCCUCCUCUUAUUGAUAUGCUCCUACCUCUUAAACUCUGCCGCCAUGUUGUCUCUCUUCUCUACCUUCUAGUAUUGAUAUUUUCAUGCUGACUUGUCUUCUGAACUUACUAACUGCAUGCCAACCCCCCUCCCACAGCCCCACUGCAAACGACUUUCUACUCCAGCUCAUCCCUAUACUGUCCAAAUUCCUUACGCAAGAGUUAACCAGCAUCUUUGUUCUUUCAUCCCUCACGCUGGUAAACUCUGGAACAAUCUUCAUUUAUCUGUAUUUCCUCCUGCCUACGACUUGAACUCUUUCAAGAGGAGAGUAUCAGGACACUUCUCUUCCCAAAAUCGACCUUUCUUUCGGACACUCUUCUGAACUCUUUUUUAUAGGAGCAGUGAGAAGCAGGCUUUUUUUCAUUAUUUUUUUUUCCCCUUGAACAGUUUCCUUUGCUGUAAAAAUAAAUAAAUAAAUAAAAAAUCAGCCUCAAAACUUAAUCCGAUACAUCAUCAUGCUCUUGGC
Long non-coding RNA from Eriocheir sinensis (Chinese mitten crab), 1756 nucleotides. RefSeq lists it as uncharacterized. The record is from RefSeq and is a predicted model, not a curated record. Lineage: Eukaryota; Metazoa; Arthropoda; Malacostraca; Decapoda; Varunidae. The transcript has 3 exons.